AGGGAAUAUUAGAAAUGGACGAAAGUCUGAUCUAGCAACACCGCGUGUGCGAAGAAGGCCUUCGGGUUGUAAAGCACUUUUUGGAAGGAUUAGGAAGGAAUGUACUUCCAGAAUAAGUCUCGGCUAACUACGUGCCAGCAGCCGCGGUAACACGUAGGAGGCAAACGUUAUCCGGAUUUACUGGGCGUAAAGCGCGUGUAGGUGGUUCUGUAAGUAGGGCGUGAAAGCUCCUGGCUCAACUGGGAGAGGCCGUUCUAAACUGCAGAGCUAGAGGAUGGUAGAGGGGGGUGGAAUUCCGGGUGUAGCGGUGGAAUGCGCAGAUAUCCGGAGGAACACCAGUGGCGAAAGCGGCCUCCUGGACCAUUCCUGACACUCAGACGCGAAAGCUAGGGUAGCAAACGG
This 402-nucleotide ribosomal RNA is filed under the name uncultured bacterium. Its description in RNAcentral is "bacterial SSU rRNA". It matches the Rfam family "Bacterial small subunit ribosomal RNA", at positions 356 to 775 of the family's 1533-position model. The record is from RNAcentral.